RNAcentral lists this transfer RNA (73 nucleotides) under Paenibacillus roseus. It matches the Rfam family "tRNA". Rfam says of the family: Transfer RNA (tRNA) molecules are approximately 80 nucleotides in length. The record is from Rfam by way of RNAcentral. Lineage: Bacteria; Bacillati; Bacillota; Bacilli; Caryophanales; Paenibacillaceae.
GGGCCUUUAGCUCAGCUGGGAGAGUGCUUCGCUGGCAGCGAUGAGGUCAGGGGUUCGAUCCCCCUAGGCUCCA